CCUACGGGAGGCAGCAGUAGGGAAUCUUCCACAAUGGGCGAAAGCCUGAUGGAGCAACGCCGCGUGGGUGAAGAAGGUCUUCGGAUCGUAAAACCCUGUUGUUAGAGAAGAAAGUGCGUGAGAGUAACUGUUCACGUUUCGACGGUAUCUAACCAGAAAGCCACGGCUAACUACGUGCCAGCAGCCGCGGUAAUACGUAGGAGGCAAGCGUUAUCCGGAUUGAUUGGGCGUAAAGGGAACGCAGGAGGUCGUUUAAGUAUGAAGUGAAAGCAUG
This 274-nucleotide ribosomal RNA is filed under the name uncultured bacterium. RNAcentral's name for it is "partial 16S ribosomal RNA". It matches the Rfam family "Bacterial small subunit ribosomal RNA", at positions 338 to 604 of the family's 1533-position model. The record is from RNAcentral.